Unclassified non-coding RNA from Ochotona princeps (American pika), 308 nucleotides. Its record names the gene 7SK. It matches the Rfam family "7SK RNA". From Rfam's summary of the family: 7SK was discovered as an abundant small nuclear RNA in the mid-70s but a possible function has only recently been suggested. Lineage: Eukaryota; Metazoa; Chordata; Mammalia; Lagomorpha; Ochotonidae. The record is from Ensembl.
GGAUGUGAGGGCGAUCUGGCUGCGACAUCUGUCACCCCAUUGAUCGCCAGGAUUGAUUUGGCUGAUCUGGCUGGCUAGGCAAGUGUCCCCUUCCUCCCUCACCGCUCCAUGUGCAUCCCUCCUGAAGCUGAGCUCUCGGUCGAAGAGGAUGACCAUCCCUGCUAGAGGAGGACCAGUCUUUGGUCAAGGAUGUACGAGUAGCUGCGCUCCCCUGCUAGAACCUCCAAACAAGUUCUCACUAAUGCUGCUUGGGAUGCCUGCAGCCCAGAUCAGUUGUGCCCAGAUCAGCUAUGGCUCUGCCAUCCAUU